AUACGGAGGGUGCAAGCGUUACUCGGAAUCACUGGGCGUAAAGCGCGCGCAGGCGGCUAUUUAAGUUGGAUGUGAAAGCCUACGACUCAACCGUAGAACUGCAUCCAAAACUAUUUAGCUAGAGUGUGGGAGAGGAAGAUGGAAUUAGUUGUGUAGGGGUAAAAUCCGUAGAGAUAACUAGGAAUACCAAAAGCGAAGGCAAUCUUCUGGAACACUACUGACGCUGAGGCGCGAAAGCGUGGGGAGCAAACAGGAUUAGAUACCCUAGUAGUCC
RNAcentral lists this ribosomal RNA (274 nucleotides) under uncultured bacterium. Its description in RNAcentral is "partial 16S ribosomal RNA". It matches the Rfam family "Bacterial small subunit ribosomal RNA", at positions 523 to 796 of the family's 1533-position model. The record is from RNAcentral.